Motacilla alba alba is the source of this 7623-nucleotide long non-coding RNA. RefSeq lists it as uncharacterized. NCBI's taxonomy places the organism in Eukaryota, Metazoa, Chordata, Aves, Passeriformes, Motacillidae. The record is from RefSeq and is a predicted model, not a curated record. The transcript is spliced from 2 exons.
UACACUUCAGUUUGAGCUCAUCAGAACCUCACUGCCAGAUACCCUGUAGAAACCAGGUACUCGGUUUUACUGGCUUCUAAAGCUGACUUCAUGUGCUGCUACUUACGCCAACCGACCGCUGCUCAGCUCUCUUUUCACUGAAGAGGCACAAGAGAUGUUCUCUAGGACAGCAGGAGUCAUCCAAAGGCCAGAAGGUGUCUAAACCUGUAAUGAAGAUUUACCUCAACAGCAGAGACUUCAAGAAAACAUUGGUGGAUGAACCUGUGGUGAUCCUUACUUCAAACUGCAUGGCUGCCUUCCCAUGCCAUUUCAUGAUGUAUGAAAUUUUGUGCCCAAAAUUUACAUUCUUGUAGUUAACAAUAUUAUCACCAUUCCUAAUUUUAGGCUGAUGUCAUUAUAUUAAAGGAGCCAAAAGGACUCUAAAAGGAUGUUUGGAAUAACAUCUAUAUUGAAAAUGAUAGUAUGUUCAUGUAUACACCUAUGCUAACAAAAAUCUGUUGGUACAAUCUUGCUCAGACUCCGUAGGGGAUUAACUUGGGGUGCGUUCCUCUGUAGGAAUGGCGCUUGUAUGUGUGGGGUGAGUGUGCCAUUCAAACACAGAGAGCGUGCACUCCUUCCUAAGUAGCUUUCCAUACAGUUUUCACUCACCAUUUUGGCUUCACAAAAUACUGUUGUCCUUCUGCAUAAAAUAAUUUACAUGUCUCAGAGACUUCUGAAGUUGAGACAGUCUAAACACAGUUUAGAGGAUGGAAAAUAACCAUGGUAAAUCUCUUCCCAACCAAAGACUUCAGAUCUGCCUGGGGUAGUGCCAUGAUGUCCCUUGAUUUCCUUCUUCCCUUCUGCAUAGGAAAUGUGUUUUUAUGUUUGACUCUUUUUCUAUAAAUAAAUGAACCAUAAUCAGGAAAACACUUGCUAGCUUUGGAGUCCAGCUUGUGACUUGUGUGGGGAAAAUAUUAAAAUACUUUGAGGCAUAUUUUGGCUAGACUGCUGUGAGAUAUGGCUGGGGCCUGACAGAAUCAAAAAUGUGCCAGACUUGACCAGGAUAAACCCUGUUCUGUGUUUGUCUGAGUACUGGAGCUAGAAAUGCUGCAGCAAAGGAGGAUGUUAGUUGUGCUUAUUUGUUUCGCAGUGGCUGGAUUGCUCCUCCAGCCCCAGCUGCUGCCUUAGCUCUGGCAGCAAACAAAACCACACUGGACGGUGGUGGUGGCACAAAAUCCUCCCUCCAUGCCUUGCAAGCCAGUCACCUCCACUCUGACACUUCUGGAUACAAAGCAAAGAUUUUUUUCCCCCCUAAUGUUAAAUAUUUGCUACUUUUCUUAAAAUCUCCCAUGAAAGACCAAUGACUGCCACCCCACAGAGUGUCUCAGCACUUUGUGGGUUUUGUUUUCUCUUAGGAUUGCAAACUCAGCUGUGUCUGUCUGCAGAUCAUUCUUCACUUCUCUCCCAGCAUCUGCUAAGCUUGUAAAUUGGUUAAUAGGCUAAGAGGAAUUGGGAUAAAUUAAGAUGUAAGGAAUAGGGGUAAAGCUUGAGAUGGAAAGAUCUUAAAAUCUCAGAAAAUAGGACAGAGAGGCUGUGAGGAACAACACUGGAAUCUAUACAGAUGGAGUAACAUCAGUGUCUAGUACUUGAUUAAAUUUAAAAACAGAGAGAUUGAGAUUGACUUUACAGGGCUGAGAUUGUCUUGUCUACAGCUUAGGCAAAAUAGUACUGGAAUGAGUGUUUGUAGUUAAAAGCUUGAACACAGUUAAUAGCAUCAUGUUAUUAUCUGAAAUACUUCUGAAGGAAGAUAAACAAUUUCAGUUUAUUAUGGUUUUCUUUCCCAUAUGGCACAAAUGGGCCCAGGACCAAACUGGCUCUCAGCAAAAAGCUGCCAUCUCCACACUCAUUCAGCAGGUCAUAUUUAACCAAUUUUAAUAUCUUGCCUGUACACCCACGGGUGGAUCCAUUCCAAUCAAUACUCUAUGGCUUAAGUUUUUUUAUGACACUUCAUUUUUUACUCUCCUUGACUCUUCUGCCACUGUUGUUGAAUAUUCCUUUGUAGCUGAUCUGUUUUCUGUCUCUCUGUGUUAAUGUUUAUGCCGAGUUAUUAUUUCCAAAAGCUAAAUUUUGAGCACUCUCACUGCAUUCCAAAUUUCCUAAGAAAAAGCAGAAACAUUACUGUAAUAAUUCUCAUGAAAACCCAAACAAAUAAAUCAAUUAAACACUUGCAUGAUUCAGAAAGACAAAGAGAUAUUCAUACCCACAUGAAAGAAUGACAUGAUUGUGCCUGUCUCUUCUUUUUGUUGUGAUAUCCUCUUGGUUUCAUUCCAAGUUAUGUUACUGCUUAUUUUCCCAGUCUAUCCAGAUUAGGCAAGAAACAUAUUUUCAAAGGUACAUGGUCACUGAAGGAUGCAGCUAGGCACCUAUCCAAGCAGGUGAAAUCCCAUAAAAUUUUCCUGGAUGCAUAAGCACCUUUGAAAAUCUGCUCUUGAAUGUUUCAGGAAAAGGGCUGAAGUUUCCUGGUAAAUAACUAGCAUUUGUGAAUGUCAUUAAAAACUACAGGACAGGUAAGGACUUGCUUAAAAGACAUUGUGAUAGAAUAGAGUAUAAAGCCAAUGUGUAACUGGAGAUAAGAAAUCUGAAGAAAAGAGAUUAAUACUUCUAGAAAUUCAGGAAAAUGGAAGAUUGCUGAGAAAAGGCACUUCAAGAUAACUCUGUUUUCUGGCAUUGCUUCCAAAACAUUUUAGCUAAAUUCCAAUGUUUUUCUAUGCAAAUUCAAUAGCUAUGAAGACAUAAUAUAUGUUUUCCAGCAAUAGCUGUCCCUUGUGUAACCUCAUGACUUAACAGCACUGAUAAAUGUACAAUGCUCUGCUAACAGUAGGAAUGAUGUAUUUUUGAACACAUGCAGUAAUGAGUUGAUAAAAUUUUGUCUCAUGGUUAGAAACAACACUUUCUUACGAUUAUCAGAGGCCCAGUCAUGCAGGUUGAAGACAGACUUCUAGAGCUACAGUACUACAAGUAAUUUCUGAAUCUUUCUGCUAUGGAAAAACAGAGGAAAACUUUCAUGCCGCUCCUGAAACAAACUAAAGGUCAUCCUCUGAACAGUAUCCAAAACGUAGUAUUAGACAUAAAUCGCUGUACUGCAGACUCCAAUAGUUUGUCAGUAGCUCAUUGCUCCAUGCAGCAGCAGAAGGAACAAGGCUUGACAGCAAGUAUUUAACUAAUUGAGUCUAAAUUUCUGCAUUUGGAAACCCCUUGGUGUUCCAAAACAACUGCUGGCAGCAGUGAAAAGUUCAGCUGCGGAUACGCAUGUGUCCAUGUGAAGGUACAAAGAAACCAAGCACUGGUUUAUUGACAGAAAGGAAGGCAGGGUCAGCCAGUUCUGCAUAACAGCACAAGCAUCCAAACUACAGCUGACAGCCUUCAAAGGGCUUAUGGAGCCUCACCCAGAACUAAUGUCUCCUUUUUUCCCUUCUAAAAAAUUUUGUGUGUUUUCUGCAAAAUAAAGGGCAACCUUUCCUCAGUCUGUUUGUAUUGCCUUUCUUAUUUGGAGUGUCUUUCCCUUCUAUCAUUUAUAAGUACAUAAUAUUGCUGUUUCUUCAUAAAUAAUUUUCCUUUUAACACUACAAAAUAAUCCCACAGUAUAGUUUGUGGCUUGUGACCAAACUUUUCUAGCCAUCCAAGUGUUGCUGUGGUGCUGUUACGGAUUUCAAUAUCCCUGGCAAGGACAGCAGUGCUUGUUUGUACCUAGUGGUACAAACAUUUCAGCCAGGUACUGGGAUAGCUGGACAAGGCUGCCUUCCCAGAGGAAGGCAUGUGGCAUUAAAAAAGUAACUGUGAAAAGUGUAUGAAAUUAGAAUACAAGCUUUUCUUUUCCCUCCACUGUAUUCUCAGUGUUUUGAAAGGAUGGCUAAAGCACUUGACAGCCUGCUUCUCUCACCUACAAAGUUUCAAAUGGGGACAUUGAGACAAGCACAGGAGGAGGCUGACUCAGCCACCUUAGUCAUGUGGAGGGUACAGCCAGAGCUAACUUUUGGAAGACUGAGCUGAGGUAACACACACCUACAUUAACUUAUGUAUCUACAUUUCUCCCUCCAAUUUCAGGAGAAGAAGAAUUUAGGAUACCUUUCCCAGUACACUGAGAUACUGCAUUCAUCUCAGAUCUUUAUAAUUAGAUUAUGAGAGGUUUUGGAAAACAUUUAAAAGGUAAAAGAAGGAAAAAGCAUCCUCCAAUAUGAUGGUUUUACAAAAGGGCAAGGAGUCCUAUCUCUUGCUAAACAACCCUGUAAUGUUUUUCUUUUGAGACUCUGAUUUUUAACUGAAACUGAAAAUUAAAGUUUUCAAGGUAGCUAGAAUCAAUUACAGUUUGCAUGUAUAACAAGUUUGGUUACAAUAGAGGUUUUCACUGCUCUGUUAUCUGAGCAAAUCAAAAUGCAAGAUAUGCAGAGAAACAGAUUCAGCCUUCUUCAGUUUAAAGAAAUAUUAAAAUUUAGAAUUGCAACUAUUUGUAUUUAAAUAAAUCUUAUUCUUACAGAUUCUUAUAGAUCAAUAGUGAUGACUCACAACUUAAGUGCAUCUCAAAGUUUAGCAUUUUAAUAUAUAAAACUGUGCAUAAACAGUGAGUAAAGUGUGAUGAUUUCACACUUUCACAGAUCAGAAACUGUUCAGCAGCUGAAUAUCACAUACAGUUAGUAUUCUGUUUUGGGGGAAAUGUUGGAAUUUUACAUUAUACAAAUUUAUUAAUAACACUUUGAGGAUUAACAUAACAUGGUCAAGAAAUAUAAUACUAAAUCAAUCUAUCAAUCAAUCAAUCAAACAGACACUGUUUCCUACUUUGUCCAGCUCUAACUAGAAGAGUACAGCAGCUGAAUGAAUUGAAAAAUACUAUUAUUAUUACAGACCUUUUAGACUAUUUCAAUUCUAUUUUUUGGCAGAAAUUACUAGAUAUUCAGACUAUACCUAUGGUUUGCAACAUGAAAUCCUAAUUUAUAUACUGUUAAUUAAGGUGCAGGAAUUAUUGUUCCUAGUUUGGCCUUCUCUCCAGAAAAUCACUUUUGGAUAUUUUGGAAUCAGACAUAAAUUAAUAAAGUUUAAAACCGGAUGGCUGAUAAGUAUUUAUGUCACUUUAGACAAAAUUACUGUCCAUAUUAAUUUGUGUUCAACUGGUGGGGAAAAGAUGCUGGUGUUAAGUGCACAAGAAGAAAAACUGAGAUAAAAAUGGAAGCCUGCCCAUAAACACAAUGUCCAAGGAAAAUAAUGGAUUUUAGAGAACAUCUUCUCCUCUUAUGUAACAGAUGUUGCUGAACUGAUUAAAAAAACCCAAACAUAGCUUUGUGGGUCAUAGCAUGCAACCACAACUGAAAAAUACUUAGUGGCCUUUUAGUUAAAGGAGUGGAAUCAACAAUAUUACCAAAACCCAAGACAAUAAAUUCUCUGAGCACACCAAAGAGUACCCAAUAAGCCCAAUAUUAAUCAGUCAUACAUGCAUGAUUACCUGUUCCCUUAGUUACACUAAUGAUUUUCGAAGUCUGAUUGUUAAAGUAAUUGAAAGCUGAUUUUUCAGGUGGAAGUUCUUCAAGCAAAAAGUAAUGUGGAUGGCAGCUGAGAUAACAUGGAGAUGCUCAGAUACAUAUAGGUACAAAAUCCAAUAUGACAUUAGAAGAGAACACCCCUCCUUAUUCACAGAAUAAUUCCACAUGCAAAUUCACUAAUGAAAUCUGCAUGUUCCUUUCCCACAAUGUUAAAAAUAUAAUGAAAGGAGGAAAGGAAUUUGAAGAAACAUUCCAGUUCUCAUAAUAUCUAGAAAUCUGGUCUUUUCUUUUAAGUAUGUAGAUUUUAAUAAUCUGAGUCUUCCAAUUAAACAAUUUUAACAUUGUCUGAAUUAUUUGUAUCUACAGUUAUUCAUAUUUUCACACUAAUUCUACACUAACUCACCCACUAAAUUUUUAUUGCUGUAGCUGAAAGCUAACAAUUGUAGCAAAGUGAAUUGGACUGUAAUUUUUCAAGAAGAGAGGGAAAAAAAUAACCUAAUGGAUGUCUUGGACUAAGCCUGAGUCUAAGCAUGUCAGUCUAUGCAAUGUGCCAUUACUGCUAAAUCUAUAGCAGUCAGAAGCAUUAAGAAAAACUUUACCACUCUCAUCAAACAAAAAGGGAUUAAAUUCUUCAGCGGCUUCUUCCAGGGUCUGUAAGAGUAUGCAUUAUUCUCUAAACCAGAAGAAAUUUACUCUGAGGGAAAGCUUUUCAACAGAACUCUUUUAAAAUACAAGGUAAAGGAGUAGAACUGAGCUAAGGCAUUUCUCUAUCAAUCACCAUAAUUCUUUGAUGUUUUUCAUUCCCUUAACAUCAUGGAUUUUAUCCAAAUAACAAUAGCUUAUCAGCUACAGAAUACAUACCUAUGGUAUGUUUAGAUUACCAGGUAAAUGCAUAUUUUUAAAAGCUUUUAUGGGAUGUGCAAAAUAUGCUGAAGCAGGAAAACAAACAACUGUACAAUGUAAUAAGUAUUCCUAAUGUUUCUUUAUUAGAUUAUAGGAAUCUGCAGCUAGUAACAAUCUGCCUCUCAUAGUUCAGAGCAAAGCUACUGAUACACAGCUACUUACUUUGCAUUGGUUUCCCUUGGGAAACUAUUAAGAACUCUUAUGUUUAAUACAGAAUUAAACUUUUCACAGCUAAUACAGUACAUAAAAUUCACAAACUUCUUCAAACAUGAUCUAUAAAGGAAGGAGUCUACAGUCUACAACACUCAUGCAUUUACUGGUUUCCUGUGUUGUCCUGUAUAUUUCUUCUUCAGCAUUGUCAGACCUGUAUUCUCGACAGAUGGUUACAAAAUGUCUCUACUUAGACAUGUUACAAAAAUCAAAUCAUAGGUGCAUAAUUGUCUGACUAACAUUAAACUUUUGUGCUUAAUAAGGUUUAGUUAAGAAUAUUAGCUCAGGAGAACACUGUUAAUUUUUAUACUUGUUUGUGUCCUAGAGAAGAAAGGGAUACCAUGCAGAAAUUCAAACCUGCCUGGCAUUUGUUUGUCUUGAUUAAAAUUCAGCACAUUAAACAGGUCAGAUCUAUGGCUACAUGACAUACCAGAACCAUGAUAUCUUCCCAUUUUGGAUCAACAGUGUCUUGCAAAGGUUCAUUUUGACCUGCACUCUAAUUCAGCACAUUCUGAGAGCUAAAAUGUUUUGAAGAGUGGGUAAUGAACUGCAAAACAACACAGAACUUCCACUGAAACUUCUGAAUUGUGGAAUUAAGUCCAAAAAAUGCUUUCAAUUUUGCAUGAUAAAGUCAAUAAAAUCUUGUAAAAUAAUCCUUAUGUACAGAAUGGCACUUUUGAACUAUCUUGUGUGUCACAGUGAAGUACGUGAAUUGCAAUAGGUGGAAUAAAGAACUGAGCAAAGAAAAGGUGUGUUCACAAUGAGACCUGAGGCAGACAAGUUAUUAGUCAAAAGGCAUCUUAGGUGGUAAUUUUAAUACUUAAUAAAGGUAGUAACUGUAAAAGUCCUAUGCUUCACAUUUUAGAUAAGACCUCUCACUUAUGUAAAUAUUCAUCAGCAUCUCUAGAGUAAAGCCCUUAUUAUACUGAGUUGAAAGACAUACAAGCCAGUUGAAUCGCUUUUCUGGAAGAUGCUCGAGGGAGUGUAGUCAAAUCUCUGC